GCCACUGUACUCUUCAUAACCAUGGAUUUCAAUUCUGCUGUGCAGCCAUUGGGAAUCUUAAGAUAUCGAGAGACCAAGUACACACGGUGCUUAAGUUAAUAAGGGCGGGCCUGGUGCAGCGGUAGAGCCUCACCGCCUGUGACCGAGAGGUCCCAGGUUCGAGUUGCGGUCUCCUCACAUUGCACUUCGUGAGGGUAAGGCUUGCCACUAACACCUUCCCCAGACCCCGCACAGUGCGGGAGCUCUCAGCACUGGAUCCUCUCCCCGCAAGUAAGACGCCCCAGCCAGAUCCUCUUCUGCCGCUAUGCCCCGACUGCCGCUGCGCCCCGGCCGCCGCUGCAACCCACCUUCACAAGCCUGGGGGCAAGCCGGCGCACUCGCGUUAUGGAUACAACCGACCAUCGACAGGAACUGCUCUAUGCAGAGACAUCGCUAGAUAUCCGGUGAUGUGGUUGAUGGAUCUGUGUUGUGCCUUGUGCUGUUCCCGACCUUCAACCAAGGGUGCCCUCACUCCCAGAUCCCCUGCCAUGAGUGCCACCUGCCAACCAUCUCCAACACCCGACUCCUCUCUUAAUCAGGCAAUCUUUGCAUGGACCUAUACACACUGGUUCUGAAAAUUAAAAAGAGAGAUUGGCAAAAUAAGUGGAUGAUGCAUGGCUGUGAUGAUAACAGCAAGUUUCGAGAAUGGUGUCACUACUAGAUAGUUGUCUAUUAUAUUUUAGAAUGUUAUUGAUAUACACAGCUUGUAUUCAUCAAUUCAUUCUCCAUGUAAAGCUACAAAGUUAUUUGAUAUAUGAGAUCUUUCUUUUACUA
Lolium perenne is the source of this 813-nucleotide non-coding RNA. Lineage: Eukaryota; Viridiplantae; Streptophyta; Magnoliopsida; Poales; Poaceae. The record is from RefSeq and is a predicted model, not a curated record.